AAUCAACGCUGGCGGCGUGCCUCAGACAUGCAAGUCGAACGAGAACCUCCCUUCGGGGAGGAGACAGUGGCGCACGGGUGAGUAACACGUGGGUAAUUUACCUUUGGGUGGGGAACAACAGCCGGAAACGGCUGCUAAUACCGCAUAAUGCAGCGGCUCGACAUCGAGACAGUUGUUAAAGCGGGGGAUCGCAAGACCUCGCGCCUGAAGAGAAGCCUGCGGCGGAUUAGCUAGUUGGUAGGGUAAUGGCCUACCAAGGCGACGAUCUGUAACCGGCCUGAGAGGGCGGUCGGUCACACUGACACUGACAUACGGGUCAG
Molecule: ribosomal RNA, 320 nt
Filed under: uncultured bacterium
Lineage: Bacteria
Description: bacterial SSU rRNA
Rfam family: Bacterial small subunit ribosomal RNA
Source: RNAcentral